GUAGGGAAUAUUGGGCAAUGGUCGGAAGACUGACCCAGCCAUGCCGCGUGCAGGAAGACGGCCCUCUGGGUUGUAAACUGCUUUUAUCUGGGAAGAAAAAGGCCAUGCGUGGCAAAUUGCCGGUACCAGAUGAAUAAGCACCGGCUAACUCCGUGCCAGCAGCCGCGGUAAUACGGAGGGUGCGAGCGUUGUCCGGAUGUAUUGGGUUUAAAGGGUGCGUAGGCGGCUGAUUAAGUCAGCGGUGAAAGACUUCGGCUUAACCGGAGCAGUGCCGUUGAUACUGGUUGGCUUGAGUGUCGGAGGGGUACAUGGAAUUGAUGGUGUAGCGGUGAAAUGCAUAGAUACCAUCAGGAACACCGAUAGCGAAGGCAUUGUACUGGCCGACAACUGACGCUGAUGCACGAAAGUGUGGGGAUCGAACAGGAUUAGAAACCCCAGUAGUCC
Molecule: ribosomal RNA, 444 nt
Filed under: uncultured bacterium
Lineage: Bacteria
Description: partial 16S ribosomal RNA
Rfam family: Bacterial small subunit ribosomal RNA
Source: RNAcentral